This 2484-nucleotide long non-coding RNA is filed under the name Homo sapiens (human). Its description in RNAcentral is "HSALNT0314840". The record is from RNAcentral. Lineage: Eukaryota; Metazoa; Chordata; Mammalia; Primates; Hominidae.
GAAGUGAGCAAGGGAGGUCAUUCGCAAUUCUGUCACUCCUAAAUUUGUCUGAACCUUUUUGGAAGGCAUUUGUAUUUCCUGCCAGCACCACCUCUUGGGGGUGAUGAAUUCCAAUAAGUUUCAAUCCGUUUAUUACUCACUGUGAGAGAAAUUGCUUCCUUUUAUGUCUGGAACUAAACCUGGAUCACAUUUCACAGGAUAUCCCCUAGUCACAGAGUUUUGGAAUCUGACCUGGAGGCAAAGGUAUGGAUGAGAUCACAUAGCAAGGAGAUUGCUGCUGAGAAGGAGUCAAAGCCUGGGUUUUACUUGUGGCCUUGCUGCUACACCAACUUUACUGACAUGCCAUUCUGGGAUAGUCUUUUCUCUCUGAGGCUUCAAGAGAAGAUGAGAAUACAUUCCAUCCCUACCUCUUGGAGUCAUUGUGAGGACUCAGAUGAAGUGCAGCAUCACGCAACAGAACUCAGAUGCCCUCACUGCAUCUCAAAUGCACUCAGGCUGCCAUGCUGUGAGCUGCCCUAUGGAGAAGUCCACAUGGCAAGGAACUGAGGGAUACCUUCAGCCAACAGCCAAUGAGGAACUGAUGCUCCCAGAGAACAGCCUGUAGGAAACUAAUUCCUGCUAACAACCUUCAGAUGACUGCAGGUCUGGCUGGCAACUCAACUGAAGCCUGAGAGAGAUCCUGAAGCAGCGGGUGCAGCUAAGCCUCUGCUGGAUUCCCAUUAGACAGAAACUGCUACACCCUGCAAGGUCAUUAUCAUUAGCUGCACUUUACAGGAGAGGAAGCUGAGGCUCAGAGAAGCAAACUGCCCUCCUACUUAUGUUGAAGACUUUCCCAUCCUAUGAGCCCAGGUGGGAGAAGCUGAAAAUGGCAGAAGGUCACUUUUCCAGCUGCCCUGUGCCUGGUGAGCCUGUGACACAGACCCCGUUGCUCACAUAUCCACCCAGUUUGGUGCCAUAGGUGGUAGCACUUCAGGGCCAAGGAGUUUGAAGAAGUCCAAGGUAGAGCUUUCUGGAAAAUCCUCUGGAGAGGUUGAUCAGAAACCUUCUCCCACAUAAACAAAGGACCCAGGAAGAAGCUAAAAAUGGGCCAUGAGAUUGUCUUUAUUCAUCAAGCCUGAAGUUUUCUGACUCUAUCUUUCUUUUCCCGUGGCCACUGUUACCUCUCCAGAACAGACCCCAUCACCUGAAUUCUGCCUGAGCCUCGACAGAUAUGCUCAGCUGCUCUCCCAUGCUGGCUGUUGUUACCCCAACCCACUUAAAAUUCCUUGAGGUCUUAGAAGCUCUCUCCCACCAAGGUGCCGAAAGAAGUAUUUCACAGGUUCUCAGUGACAAUUGUUUAUUGAAAUUUACACUGAUGAGAAGUGGUCCCUAUUAAGGGAAUUCAAUCCAAGGAGAUUGGCUCUAUACUUUGAACCGCUGUGGCCAAAUAAAUAGAUGACUGCUUGCUGCAAUUAUAUUGCUGUGGUCUUUGUAUAAAUAGAUUACCAAGAAUAGGACUCCACACAUCUAUCACCUUGGAAAGCUGAUUUGUAUAAUCUGGACAGGUGGCAAGGAAACGUAACUGUCUGCUCAAGGGAGAGCCUGCCUGGGGCAGAGGAAGAGAGUCUGAGUAGCAUCCCAGUUAAGUGCUCAAGCCCUGAGGUCAGGCUGCCUGCAUUUGAAUCCUGAUUCUGCCACCAAUUUUCUAAGUGGCAUGGCAAUGUUCUUAAACUUCCCUUUGUGUCAUAGUAAGCAACCGAAAAAUGGUGCUGAGGAUAGAGAACUCCAAAAAUAGAAAUUAUUGCUAGAAGGUUCCCUUGCAGUGGAUAUCGGGGAUUCAAUCUGUUAGUAUCCAGAAACUAGUUUUUCUGUUACUUUUGUGAAACCACUCAAGAUCUCUGUUUAACAAGCCUCCCAAAGAUCUUUUUUCAAUAUGUUUAUAUGUCUUGGGGAUUACAGCACUUGUGGGUUUCAGCAGAACUCUUUUUGCAGAGGUCUGGUGGUGUAGGAAAAGGGCUGUAGACUAGGAUCUGGGAGACAGACAUGUCUAUGUUGAGACCUGCCUCUGGAGCACUGGCCACCCUCUCCAAGCUGCUGCAGUUCUCUGAGAUCCAACUGUCUCCCCUGUUACAUAAUCACCACAGUUAAAAUAUCAAAGUUUAUAUCAACCCCAAAAGUUACCUCCUGCUUCUUUGUAAUCUUUGCCUCCAUCCACCCUUAUUCCUAGGCAACCACUGAUCUGUUUUAUGUCAAUACAGAUCAUUUUGCAUUCUCUCUAAUUUCAUAUACAUUGCAUCAUACUUUAUGCACUCUUUUAUCUGGAUACUUUCACUUAACAUAAUUAUUUUCACAUGCAUUCAUGUUGUUGUGUGCAACAACAGUUUAUUAGUUUUCAUUGCUGAAUAGUAUUCCAUUGUGUGGAUAUACCACAUUUGUUUAGCCACUCAUCUGUGAAUAGACAUUCGGGUUGUUUCCAGUUACUUGGUUAUUUCAAAUAAAGCUGCU